This 375-nucleotide ribosomal RNA is filed under the name uncultured organism. RNAcentral's name for it is "partial 16S ribosomal RNA". It matches the Rfam family "Bacterial small subunit ribosomal RNA", at positions 526 to 896 of the family's 1533-position model. The record is from RNAcentral.
GGGGGGGGGCAAGCGUUGUUCGGAAUUACUGGGCGUAAAGGGCGCGUAGGCGGCCCAGCAAGUCCUUCGUGAAAUCCCACAGCUCAACUGUGGAACUGCGGAGGAUACUGCCGGGCUUGAGUCCGGGAGAGGGGAGUGGAAUUCCCAGUGUAGCGGUGAAAUGCGUAGAUAUUGGGAGGAACACCGGUGGCGAAGGCGGCUCCCUGGACCGGUACUGACGCUGAGGCGCGAAAGCUAGGGGAGCAAACGGGAUUAGAUACCCCGGGUAGUCCUAGCUGUAAACGUUGAGCACUUGGUGUGGCGGGUAUCGACCCCCCUGCUGUGCCGAAGCUAACGCAUUAAGUGCACCGCCUGGGGAGUACGGUCGCAAGGCUG